RNAcentral lists this ribosomal RNA (349 nucleotides) under uncultured bacterium. RNAcentral's name for it is "partial 16S ribosomal RNA". It matches the Rfam family "Bacterial small subunit ribosomal RNA", at positions 338 to 698 of the family's 1533-position model. The record is from RNAcentral.
CCUACGGGUGGCUGCAGUCGAGAAUCAUUCACAAUGGGGGAAACUCUGAUGGUGCGAUGCCGCGUGGGGGAAUGAAGGUCUUUGGAUUGUAAACCCCUGUCAUGUGGGAGCAAAUUACAAAGAUAGUACCACAAGGGGAAGAGACGGCUAAAUCUGUGCCAGCAGCCGCGGUAAUACAGAGGCUUCAAGCGUUGUUCGGAAUCACUGGGCGUAAAGCGUGCGUAGGCUGUUUCGUAAGUCGUGUGUGAAAGGCGCGGGCUCAACGCGCGGACGGCACAUGAUACUGUGGGGCUAGAGUGAAGUUGGGGGAGGCGGAAUGCACGGUGUAGCAGUGAAAUGCGUAGAUAUC